Molecule: long non-coding RNA, 382 nt
Organism: Solanum tuberosum (potato)
Lineage: Eukaryota; Viridiplantae; Streptophyta; Magnoliopsida; Solanales; Solanaceae
Exons: 5
Source: RefSeq, a predicted model, not a curated record
AUACUUUCAAUUGGUUGACUAAGGAUAUUUAUCAAUAUAAUAUCCUAGAGUCCCCUUGUGAACUUGUAUCAAAUGAUUCAAGAAGAUGGUUGACUGAAAAUGUUCUAAAGCUCAAAAAUUCUGCUACAUAUCCUCAAGUUAAAUGUCGAGAAGAAUGGCAUGACCUCUCUUUGAUUUGGGCCAACGAUAAUAAUGUAAGAGAUGCUCUUCAAUCUUCAUGUUCGAAAGUGGUGAUCACGAUAUGGUUGUGCCAUUUAUUUCAACUCAAGUAUGGAUUAAAUCACUAAACUAUUCAAUUAUUGAUGAUUGGAAGCCAUGGAUUGUUGAUGGUCAAGUUGCAGGGUAUACAAGAAGUUACUACAAUCAAAUGACAUUCGUGACA